RNAcentral lists this ribosomal RNA (468 nucleotides) under uncultured bacterium. Its description in RNAcentral is "partial 16S ribosomal RNA". It matches the Rfam family "Bacterial small subunit ribosomal RNA", at positions 28 to 523 of the family's 1533-position model. The record is from RNAcentral.
GAUGAACGCUGGCGGCGUGCCUAACACAUGCAAGUCGAGCGAUCUUCUUCGGAAGAGAGCGGCGGACGGGUGAGUAACGCGUGGGUAACCUGCCCUGUACACACGGAUAACAUACCGAAAGGUAUGCUAAUACGAGAUAAUAUACUUUUAUCGCAUGGUAGAAGUAUCAAAGCUCCGGCGGUACAGGAUGGACCCGCGUCUGAUUAGCUAGUUGGUAAGGUAACGGCUUACCAAGGCAACGAUCAGUAGCCGACCUGAGAGGGUGAUCGGCCACAUUGGAACUGAGACACGGUCCAAACUCCUACGGGAGGCAGCAGUGGGGAAUAUUGCACAAUGGGCGAAAGCCUGAUGCAGCAACGCCGCGUGAGCGAUGAAGGCCUUCGGGUCGUAAAGCUCUGUCCUCAAGGAAGAUAAUGACGGUACUUGAGGAGGAAGCCCCAGCUAACUACGUGCCAGCCGCCGCAGUAA